GAGAAAGAAAAGAAAGAAAAACUAGGCGCGGUCACGUGUGCACGCUUGGGCUCGUUACUGCUCAGAAUUUUAGAAUCACAGAUCCAGCAGUGAUCAGGCAGCUGCAGCUGUCAGGGACCACCACCACCUACGCGAUUGAUCCGUGGGAGAAGCCGUCCUACUCUUUUCUUUCUCCUUUGUCCUUCUCAUUCCUGACCCCUUCAGGAUUCUCAGUCUUCCCUCCGGGAGACUUUUGGCCAGUCUUGUCUCGCUCCAACCUCCUACCCCCACCCCAUUCCUCAGUGCAUUCGUGAAUUUCUCCAAGCAGGCCUUUCCAGAUCGACACUAAGUUCCAAUCCCGAGCUGUGUGACCCAGCACCAAUUCAGUCACGAUGAUGACUUGCAAUUGCUUAAUCAGUUGGCCUUUCCUCCUAGCUGUGAAGUUUACCGUGCAGGAUUGCAAACACCAGAGAGAAAAUCAGUCUCUGGAAUGAUGCCUUUGAUGGACCAAGAUGCAGCUGAUGAAGCAUUGAACCAAUUAGCACCUAGCAGGAGGGCACCCUUGCUCUGUGUCCUUGAAGGUUAAAGCUGUCAAAAAGUGGUCUCCCUCAAGUUCGGCCAUCUUGCUCUCAGAGAUCUAGAACUGGACUCAGUCAAAAUUUUGGGCCAAGGAGACCGACGCGCUGUCGCCUGCACUAAGAGAAACGCAACGAACAACUUUGUCAAUGCAUUGCAUUAUACUAUAGCAGCAACUAUACUUUUAAAUGAUUCGAAUCUUGAGGUUUCAAACUGAACCGUCUUGUGCCUUUUGCCCGGCGGGCAUUUCUGCGGGGACCGCGGGUCACCUUCUGAAUUUUUACCUUCAUAAACAGCAAGGACUGCGCUCUUUCGCACGGCGCCCCGUUUUUUCGUAG
RNAcentral lists this long non-coding RNA (893 nucleotides) under Homo sapiens (human). RNAcentral's name for it is "HLA complex group 15, transcript variant 1 (HCG15)". The record is from RNAcentral. Lineage: Eukaryota; Metazoa; Chordata; Mammalia; Primates; Hominidae.